This 405-nucleotide ribosomal RNA is filed under the name uncultured bacterium. RNAcentral's name for it is "partial 16S ribosomal RNA". It matches the Rfam family "Bacterial small subunit ribosomal RNA", at positions 30 to 526 of the family's 1533-position model. The record is from RNAcentral.
AUUGAACGCUGCGGCAGGCUUAACACAUGCAAGUCGAGCGAGCGGCGGACGGGUGGGUAAUGAUUAGGUAUCUGCCCAUUCGUGGGGGACAAGAUCACCAAAGGGAACCUAAUACCGCAUCCUAAUAGAUGAGCCUAAGCCGGAUUAGCUAGUUGGUGGGGUAAAGGCCUACCUAGGCGACGUUCUGUAGCGGGACUGAGAGGAUGGUCAGCCACACUGAGACUGGGACACGGCCCAGUCGCAUACAGGAGGCAGCCAGGGGGAAUAUUGGGCAAUGGGGGGAAACCUGUGCCAACCCUGCCGCGGGUGUGAAGAAGGCCGUAUGGUUGUAAAGGACGUUAAGCGAGGAGGCGUUACUCGCAGAAUAAGCACCGGCUAACUACGUGCCAGCCGCCGCGGUAAUAC